RNAcentral lists this ribosomal RNA (253 nucleotides) under uncultured bacterium. Its description in RNAcentral is "partial 16S ribosomal RNA". It matches the Rfam family "Bacterial small subunit ribosomal RNA", at positions 524 to 776 of the family's 1533-position model. The record is from RNAcentral.
UACGAGGGGUGCAAGCGUUGCUCGGAAUUAUUGGGCGUAAAGGGUUGGUAGGUGGUCUUGUUUGUCUAAGGUGAAAUCCCAUGGCUUAACUGUGGAAGUGCCCUAGAAACGGCAAGACUAGAGUCCUAGAGGGGUUUGUGGAAUUCCCGGUGUAGCGGUGAAAUGCGUAGAGAUCGGGAGGAACACCAGCGGCGAAGGCGGCAAACUGGAUAGGAACUGACACUCAACAACGAAAGCGUGGGGAGCAAACAGG